Molecule: non-coding RNA, 71 nt
Organism: Pongo pygmaeus (Bornean orangutan)
Lineage: Eukaryota; Metazoa; Chordata; Mammalia; Primates; Hominidae
Source: the annotation of a RefSeq genome assembly
GCUUGGGUGGUUCAGUGGUAGAAUUCUUGCCUGCCAUGCAGGAGGCCCAGGUUUGAUUCCUGGCCCAUGCA